CCUGGCGGCAGUAGCGCGGUGGUCCCACCUGACCCCAUGCCGAACUCAGAAGUGAAACGCCGUAGCGCCGAUGGUAGUGUGGGUGCUCCCCAUGCGAGAGUAGGGAACUGCCAGGC
Molecule: ribosomal RNA, 116 nt
Filed under: Parablautia muri
Lineage: Bacteria; Bacillati; Bacillota; Clostridia; Lachnospirales; Lachnospiraceae
Source: RNAcentral